This 452-nucleotide ribosomal RNA is filed under the name Clostridiales bacterium oral taxon 075. RNAcentral's name for it is "bacterial SSU rRNA". It matches the Rfam family "Bacterial small subunit ribosomal RNA", at positions 28 to 489 of the family's 1533-position model. The record is from RNAcentral. Lineage: Bacteria; Bacillati; Bacillota; Clostridia; Eubacteriales.
GAUAAACGCUGGCGGUGUACAUAAGACAUGCAAGUCGAACGGGAGAAGACAGGAAGAUUUAUCUACUUGUUGGACACCGUGGCGGACGGGUGAGUAACACGUAAGCAACCUGCCUAUAAGAGGGGAAUAACAGUGAGAAAUUACUGAUAAUACCGCAUAAGCUGGAGGUAUCGCAUGAUACAUUCAGAAAAGAUUUAUCGCUUAUAGAUGGGCUUGCGUCUGAUUAGCUAGUUGGUGAGAUAACAGCUCACCAAGGCGACGAUCAGUAGCCGGAUUGAGAGGUUGAACGGCCACAUUGGGACUGAGACACGGCCCAGACUCCUACGGGAGGCAGCAGUCGGGAAUAUUGCACAAUGGAGGAAACUCUGAUGCAGUGACACCGCGUAUAGGAAGAAGGUCUUAGGAUUGUAAGCUAUUGUCGUGUGAGAAGAAAAUGACCAUCACAGGAGGAA